Molecule: long non-coding RNA, 1138 nt
Filed under: Crocodylus porosus (Australian saltwater crocodile)
Lineage: Eukaryota; Metazoa; Chordata; Crocodylia; Crocodylidae
Description: lncRNA (ENSCPRG00005016656.1)
Source: RNAcentral
AGGUCCUGAAAUAUAAGGUGUUUUGUUGUCAUCUACUCUUUAAGAUAGCACAGCUAGUGCAACAAUCUGGAUUCUUCAUCCAGACACUAAAGUCAUUCCCUUACAGUGACAACUUUGGAAAGCUGCUUUUGUCAGGAAACAAAGGAGUUAGUGAAAAAAAGCUCAAGCUUAAUUGUUGUGGCACAUUCAACUUAUUUUAGUUGUUCGAUGAAGUUACUUAGCUAGUGAAACAUUUUUGAGAUAAAAUUUUGUCUAGAACGGAUCUCAUAAAAAAUUGUGAGCAGAAUGUUAUAUUGGUUAGGGCAGGGGUUCCCAACGUUUUUAUUGCUUACACCCGUCCUGGGCAUCUUAGUACAGCACCAAACAACGUAUCUGGGAGGUAGUGGGUAAGUGGGGCAAAUGGAAGAGUGAUCCCAUGCCCCUGCUAAAGCAGGCAUGGCCCUGUGCCCAAUAUGUCUUUACUAGCAAAGUGUCCAUCAAGGACAGAGUGCCACCACCCUGCACUGCCACUGCCUAAUGUCUGGCCACACCCCGUGCCAGGCGCCACCUCUCCCCCACAGCAUCCAGUCAGCCACACGCCCCUCCCCCACAGCAUCCAGUCAGCCACACGACCACACACAUCUAGCCACCCCACGCCCCGCCCUGACCCCCUGCGCGCCACGCCACCCGCGGGUGCUCCCAGCGCAGGACCGGGCGUGGCAUGUGGCCACAGGGUGCCACGUGGAGAGCGGGCAGGGCGCCGUGCCCCGCCCCAUCCCGUGACCGUGUGCUGCAGCCGCCGGACACUGCCCUCGCCCCCCUGCCCGUUCCCGUCGCAGUACUCUACGGCCGCACGCCGGGAGCGCUCCCCAGCUGCGGGCCGCGGCCACAGCAGAUCACAAGGGGAAGAAGAAGGAUGUUGUAAAAUCUGUUCCACUUGUAUUUCAACAUCCAUCCUCACUGUAGGUGACUUCCUUUUCCUUUUGGACUGGAUGGCAUUUGAAAAUAACGGCGUUGGCUAGUUUGAUUCGGCAGUUCCAAGCUGUACUCUCAUAACUUCUGUUUUAGUAAACUAGACUAACUAGAUGUAUCUACAGAACAUAUUGUCUUUCAAUUUGUUAUUUAUUACUAAAUAAUAAAAGCAAUAAAAGUUUUACCA